Molecule: ribosomal RNA, 484 nt
Filed under: uncultured bacterium
Lineage: Bacteria
Description: partial 16S ribosomal RNA
Rfam family: Bacterial small subunit ribosomal RNA
Source: RNAcentral
AUUGAACGCUGGCGGCAUGCUUUACACAUGCAAGUCGAACGGCAGCGCGGGCUUCGGCCUGGCGGCGAGUGGCGAACGGGUGAGUAAUGCAUCGGAACGUGCCCAGUAGUGGGGGAUAGCCCGGCGAAAGCCGGAUUAAUACCGCAUACGACCUGAGGGUGAAAGCGGGGGACCGAAAGGCCUCGCGCUAUUGGAGCGGCCGAUGUCGGAUUAGCUAGUUGGUGGGGUAAAGGCUUACCAAGGCGACGAUCCGUAGCUGGUCUGAGAGGACGACCAGCCACACUGGGGCUGAGACACGGCCCCGACUCCUACGAGAGGCAGCAGUGGGGAAUUUUGGACGAUGGGGGCAAGACUGAUCCAGCCAUGCCGCGUGCGGGAAGAAGGCCUUCGGGUUGUAAACCGCUUUUGUUCGGGAAGAAAACCUCUGGGCUAAUACCCCAGGGGGAUGACGGUACCGGAAGAAUAAGCACCGGCUAACUACGUG